Molecule: ribosomal RNA, 497 nt
Filed under: uncultured bacterium
Lineage: Bacteria
Description: partial 16S ribosomal RNA
Rfam family: Bacterial small subunit ribosomal RNA
Source: RNAcentral
GAUGAACGCUGGCGGCGUGCCUAAUACAUGCAAGUCGAGCGAACAGACGAGGAGCUUGCUCCUCUCACGAUAGCGGAGGAGGGGAGAGAAACACGUGUAUAACCUACCUAUAAGACUGGGAUAACUUCGAGAAACCGGCGCAAAUAGCGUAUAAUAUAUUGAAGCGCGUGGUUGAAUGGUAAAUGACGGCUUUUCUGUAUGUAAUAGCUGGAUCUCCGCCGCAUGAGGUGGUUGGUAAGGUUAAGGCUUUCCAAGGCAACGAUGCGUAGCCGAGCUGAGAGGCUGGUCGCCGACACGGGAACUGAGACACCGUCCAGACUACUACGAGAGGCAGCAGUAGCGUAUCUGCGGCAAUAGGCGAGAACCUGACGGAGCAACGGCGCGUGAGUUAUGGAGGUCUCCGGAUCGUGAAGCCCUGUUAUGAGGUGUGAACAAAUGUGUAAGUUACUGUGCACGUAUUGACGGUAACGAGUCAGAAAGCCCCGGCUAACUACGUG